Molecule: microRNA, 23 nt
Filed under: Homo sapiens (human)
Lineage: Eukaryota; Metazoa; Chordata; Mammalia; Primates; Hominidae
Description: Hsa-Mir-1269_5p* (star (passenger))
Source: RNAcentral
AGUUGGCAUGGCUCAGUCCAAGU